RNAcentral lists this ribosomal RNA (1584 nucleotides) under metagenome. RNAcentral describes it as "bacterial LSU rRNA". It matches the Rfam family "Bacterial large subunit ribosomal RNA", at positions 1316 to 2925 of the family's 2925-position model. The record is from RNAcentral.
UGAAGGUGGGAAUCCUUCCGGCCGAAUAUCUAAGGUUUCCAGAGUAAAGCUGAUCUGCUCUGGGUAAGUCGGGGCCUAAGGCGAGGUCGAAAGACGUAGUCGAUGGAUAACAGGUUGAAAUUCCUGUACUAUCCUGUAACAGAACUGUGGGGACACAGGCAGAGAGCGUGAGCCGGGAAUGGAAAGACCGGUACAAGCGAGGUAAGAGUUCAGUUGGCAAAUCCGCUGAACAAUCUGAAGACGUGAUGUGGACUGAAAAUAAGUAGGGAAGCACGUGAGCUGACUGUCAAGAAAAGCCGCUAUUGUUUGCAGGAUACCCGUACCGUAAACCGACACAGGUGGAUGAGGAGAGAAUCCUAAGGCCGACGGGAGAAGCAUUGUUAAGGAACUCGGCAAAAUGACUCCGUAACUUCGGGAGAAGGAGUGCCAGUAAGAUGGCCGCAGAGAAUUGGCCCAAGCAACUGUUUAGCAAAAACACAGGUCUAUGCAAAACCGAAAGGUGAGGUAUAUGGGCUGACGCCUGCCCGGUGCUGGAAGGUUAAGGGGAGAGGUUAGCGCAAGCGAAGCUUUGAACUUAAGCCCCAGUAAACGGCGGCCGUAACGAUAACGGUCCUAAGGUAGCGAAAUUCCUUGACGGGUAAGUUCGACCCGCACGAAAGGCGUAAUGAUUUGGGCACUGUCUCAACAAUGCACCCGGUGAAAUUGAAAUACCAGUGAAGAUGCUGGUUACCUGCGCCAGGACGGAAAGACCCCAUGGAGCUUUACUCCAGCUUGAUACUGGGAUUCGGUAUUGCAUGUACAGGAUAGGUGGGAGGCUAGGAAAUGGUAACGCCAGUUGCCAUGUAGCCGAUGUUGGGAUACCACCCUUGCAGUACUGGGUUUCUAACCAGCAGCCGUGAUCCGGCUGGGGGACAAUGUCAGGUGGGGAGUUUGACUGGGGCGGUCGCCUCCGAAAGGGUAUCGGAGGCGCUCAAAGGUUCCCUCAGAAUGGUUGGAAACCAUUCGAAGAGUGCAAAGGCAGAAGGGAGCUUGACUGCGACACCGACGGGUGGAGCAGGUACGAAAGUAGGACUUAGUGAUCCGGUGGUAUAAAGUGGGAUUGCCAUCGCUCAACGGAUAAAAGCUACCCUGGGAUAACAGGCUUAUCACUCCCAAGAGUUCACAUCGACGGAGUGGUUUGGCACCUCGAUGUCGGCUCAUCGCAUCCUGGGGCUGAAGUAGGUCCCAAGGGUUGGGCUGUUCGCCCAUUAAAGCGGUACGCGAGCUGGGUUCAGAACGUUGUGAGACAGUUCGGUCCCUAUCCGGCGUGGGCGUAAGAUAUUUGAGAGGAGCUGUCCUUAGUACGAGAGGACCGGGAUGGACUGGCCGCUGGUGUAUCUGUUGUCUUACCAAAGGCAUAGCAGAGUAGCCAAGCCGGGAAGGGAUAAACGCUGAAGGCAUCUAAGCGUGAAGCCCCCCUCAAGAUGAGAUAUCUCAUAACGUCAAGUUAGUAAGACCCCUUGAAGACGACGAGGUAGAUAGGGCAGAGGUGGAAGUGUGGUAACACAUGGAGCUGACUGUUACUAAUAGGUCGAGGGCAUAACC